Molecule: ribosomal RNA, 251 nt
Filed under: uncultured bacterium
Lineage: Bacteria
Description: partial 16S ribosomal RNA
Rfam family: Bacterial small subunit ribosomal RNA
Source: RNAcentral
UACGUAGGGUGCAAGCGUUGUCCGGAAUUAUUGGGCGUAAAGAGCUCGUAGGCGGUCUGUCGCGUCGGCUGUGAAAACUCGGGGCUCAACUCCGAGCUUGCAGUCGAUACGGGCAGGCUAGAGUUCGGCAGGGGAGACUGGAAUUCCUGGUGUAGCGGUGAAAUGCGCGAUAUCAGGAGGAACACCGGUGGCGGAAGGCGGUUCUCUGGGCCUGUACUGCGUGAGGAGCGAAAGCGUGGGGAGCGAACAGG